RNAcentral lists this ribosomal RNA (305 nucleotides) under uncultured bacterium. RNAcentral's name for it is "bacterial SSU rRNA". It matches the Rfam family "Bacterial small subunit ribosomal RNA", at positions 30 to 334 of the family's 1533-position model. The record is from RNAcentral.
AUUGAACGCUGGCGGUAGGCUUAACACAUGCAAGUCGUGCGAGAAAGUAUCUUCGGAUAUGAGUAGAGCGGCGGACGGGUGAGUAACGCGUAGGAAUCUACCUAGUAGAAGGGGAUAGCCCGGGGAAAUUUGGAUUAAUCCCCCAUAGUAUUGUAGAGAGGCAUCUCUUUACGAUUAAAGCAUUAGCGGUAUAAGAUGGUCAUGCGUGACAUUAGUUAGUUGGUAAGGUAACGGCUUACCAAGACAUCGAUGUCUAGGGGUUCUGAGAGGAAGGUCCCCCACACUGGUACUGAGACACAGACCAG